CCCUUAGAUGUUCUGGGCCGCACGCGCGCUACACUGAUGCGUUCAACGAGUAUAGCACCUUGAUCGAUAGGUCUGGGUAAUCUUUUGAAUGCGCAUCGUGUUAGGGAUAGACUGUUGCAAUUUUCAGUCUUGAACGAGGAAUUCCUAGUAAACGCAAGUCAUCAGCUUGCAUUGAUUACGUCCCUGCCCUUUGUACACACCGCCCGUCGCUCCUACCGAUUGAAUGGUCCGGUGAAAUCUUCGGAUUGCUGACCAAGAUCCAGCAAUGGAGCUUGGUUGCGAGAAGUUGAUUAAACCUUAUUAUUUAGAGGAAGGAGAAGUCGUAACA
This 328-nucleotide ribosomal RNA is filed under the name uncultured eukaryote. Its description in RNAcentral is "partial 18S ribosomal RNA". It matches the Rfam family "Eukaryotic small subunit ribosomal RNA", at positions 1470 to 1796 of the family's 1831-position model. The record is from RNAcentral.